This 193-nucleotide ribosomal RNA is filed under the name uncultured bacterium. Its description in RNAcentral is "partial 16S ribosomal RNA". It matches the Rfam family "Bacterial small subunit ribosomal RNA", at positions 338 to 524 of the family's 1533-position model. The record is from RNAcentral.
CCUACGGGAGGCAGCAGUAGGGAAUCUUCCGCAAUGGACGCAAGUCUGACGGAGCAACGCCGCGUGAGUGACGAAGGUUUUCGGAUCGUAAAACUCUGUUGUGAGGGAAGAACACGUACCAGGUAACUACUGGUACCUUGACGGUACCUCACCAGAAAGCCACGGCUAACUACGUGCCAGCAGCCGCGGUAAU